RNAcentral lists this long non-coding RNA (1964 nucleotides) under Homo sapiens (human). RNAcentral describes it as "HSALNT0015295". The record is from RNAcentral. Lineage: Eukaryota; Metazoa; Chordata; Mammalia; Primates; Hominidae.
UUAGAGGGCAUUAGAAGGCCUGGUCCAGACAGAGACCACACGUAUCAGCUGGAUAACCUCAGAGAUAAUACGAAACCUGAUUCUGCCUGUCACGUGUACCAGGUGACAACCUCUGAGUAGGACUUCACUUUGCCAAAUUUCCCACAGGCUCAGCAUCCACCACCAUCACCUCACAGAGAGUGCCUGGGCCACACAUACAGCUUUACCUACUGCUGGAAAUCAGAAAAGCCUGAAGGACCAUGAGCAGAGAGCUCUAGACCUUCCAAAGUCGCUUGCUAGAUUUCUAAAAUGAAACUAUUCUUAAAAUACUCAAAUGUCUCUCAUCAAAGUCCAUGUGUGCUGACCUGCUGGGUUUCAGCAGCAUGUGGGCCUGGAGGUACCACCACCAUCAGGGCCAGCCAUUUGACAUGAGACCCAAAUGCCUGGUGUACAGGGCAUGUGCUCCUAUUUGGACUCUAAUAUCUCUCCGUGAGUCACCACCUCUCUUUCCCAGAGCUCAGGCCUCAGCUUCCUGCUCCAGGUUGAGCCCUCACCCUCAGAUUAGCUGCGUAGUGUGUCUGUUCUGAGUCAGGCAGUUCUUCCUUCCCACCCACUGCCCACCAAGUCCCAGGGCUUGCUGUUUCAGCACACAUUACUAGUGUGGGGAGGCAGGUCCACGGGUGAUAUCAUCUGUUUGUAAACAGCUUCCACAAAUCACCUCCCACUGGAAAUCACAGAAUCUCAGACAUGGAAGGAAGGGCCACUCCCAGGCAGAGCAGGACUGCCCUCCAGAGCCUCCCUGGCAAGGGGUCAUUUGGCCGCAAGGUCAAACAUCCUGGAUGAAUCAGUAGAGCAUUUCCGACCUCACCUUUGAGCAGACACCCUCAGCCGCCAGCUGCUGGGUGGAUGCCAUGACAGAGCUCCCCACUCAUUGGGUCACCAAGGGAGCAGCAGCCAAGAAGCCGAGCUGCAAUUUUCUGAGAGCCUGGGUGUGUCCAGAGACCCGAGUGUCUCUUCCCUGUGUGGUGGUGAUUUCUAAGACAGUAGAGCAUGACUCUUUGAGUGUGAGGGCAUGACUUUGGAGUCACACAGGUUCCAGUUUCAAUCUCAUCUCCCUCACUCAAGGGGACAUUCACUAGCUCUGUGAUUUCAGCCAAACCACUGGAACUGUCUAAACCCAUGUGCUCACGUAUAAAAAGUGGGGAAGUGAAUGUCUAUAUUUUUAGAUUACUGUGAGGAUUAAGUGAGAUAAUAUAGGUAAAGUGCCUUGACUUGUGCCUGAAAUAUAGUGCCAAAUAAAUGGUAACUAGUGUUACUAUUAUUAUUACCAUGAUUAUCUCUUCCUUCUGAACCCAGCAGACACCAUGCAGAGGAUAUUGUUCUCCUGUUUCCUCGUGCCUGAAAUGAGUGGAUAAAAUCUGUGCCCACAGGGAUAGGUUUCUGACCUAUGCAAGAUGACCCAUCCAUUGCCACUGCCACAGCCACCAUCUCUAAAGAAUGAGAUCCCCAUGUUUCCGAGCACACAUGCUGCACCACAGAGACUCCCAGAAACCCAUGGCUGUUGGUCCUGCUUCAGCUGCACAAAUGAGACCUGGAGAGGGCAGCUCCCAGUUUCCUGGAAGGCUCAUCUUAGGAAAAAUUUCCUCCCCAGCAAGCAAAGCAGUAGGUCAAUGAACUUCCAUGCCAAAAAUAAAAAAUAAAAUAAGACAUAAAACUAAAAAAAAAAAAAAAGAAGACAGCUGGCUUGAUUCCAAAGCCCCAAAGAGUUGCCAAAACAAACUUUUACCACACAGCUGCCUGGACCUGGUGGUCGGGAGGAGCACCUCAGUGGUAAGGCUUGGGAAGCCCAGGUGAGAACUCAGCAGAGCAAUGAAGCCCUUGAAUCAGAUGUCCUGUCUUCUUUAUCAUGCGCCAGCUGGGUGACUUUGAACAAAUUACUUAACCUCAGUUUCUCUUCUGUAAAAUGGGUAUAAUUGCACUCUCCU